GGGAGUUGAACUUUCCGUCGUAGUACACUGAAUGUUCAGUGGUGUUUUUCUAUUACAAGUUGGAUAUUUCUUAGUCUGCGUUUAUACACUGGAUUCAGUUCUUUGAAGUUUGUGUUAUCUUCGUUAUUGCCAAACAAGUGAGCGAGAGAGCCAGGGAUAGUGUUCUAUCCAUGGACUUGUGGAUUUAUUUGAAAUCACUUUAUAAACUGUUUGAAUCAAGCAUUCUGUAAUUUGUUGUGAAAGAUGAGUGAUACAGAAGCCACAGUUGUAGAAACACUCAACAUGAGUGACAAUUCAGUUCAAUCUACGUGCAGUGAUCUUCCAUCUGAUGUAAUGGUAAAAAGUGAGCCAUCAGACUGUGCAUAUGACCCGUCAGACUCACAAUAUGAUAUCACCUCACCUAGCCACUCUUCAUCAUCGUCGUCACCAGUAGUCAUUGCAGCCUCUGUAGUAUUGGCCAACACAGUACCGUUACCGAUGAAGUCUCCACCCCCAAAUUAUAAUAUGGCUUCACCACAGUCUGAUGAUAGUGAUAGCACCAGUGCUAAGAGACGCAAAGGGCCGCUACCGAGAACAGAUUUGGAAUUGUGUCUUGUUUGUGGUGAUAGGGCAUCAGGAUUCCAUUACAAUGCCCUUAGUUGUGAAGGAUGUAAAGGU
Molecule: small RNA, 657 nt
Filed under: Saccoglossus kowalevskii
Lineage: Eukaryota; Metazoa; Hemichordata; Enteropneusta; Harrimaniidae
Description: liver X-like nuclear receptor
Source: RNAcentral